Molecule: ribosomal RNA, 305 nt
Filed under: uncultured bacterium
Lineage: Bacteria
Description: bacterial SSU rRNA
Rfam family: Bacterial small subunit ribosomal RNA
Source: RNAcentral
CAUACGGGGCGCAGCAGUGGGGAAUAUUGGACAAUGGGGGGAACCCUGAUCCAGCGAUGCCGCGUGAGUGAAGAAGUAUUUCGGUAUGUAAAGCUCUAUCAGCAGGGAAGAAAAUGACGGUACCUGACUAAGAAGCCCCGGCUAACUACGUGCCAGCAGCCGGGGUAAUACGUAGGGGGCAAGCGUUAUCCGGAUUUACUGGGUGGAAAGGGAGCGUAGACGGCGAAUCAAGUCAGAAGUGAAAACCCAGGGCUCAACCUUGGGACUGCUUUUGAAACUGAGGAGCUAGAGUGCAGGAGAGGUAA